Molecule: transfer RNA, 69 nt
Filed under: Acanthorhynchus tenuirostris
Lineage: Eukaryota; Metazoa; Chordata; Aves; Passeriformes; Meliphagidae
Description: tRNA-Asp
Source: RNAcentral
GAAGUGUUAGUAAAACAAUUACAUGGUCUUGUCAAGACCAAAUCACAGGUGAAACCCCAGUACACUUCU